UGGGGAAUAUUGCACAAUGGGCGCAAGCCUGAUGCAGCCAUGCCGCGUGUAUGAAGAAGGCCUUCGGGUUGUAAAGUACUUUCAGUCGGGAGGAAGGUGGUAAGGUUAAUAACCUUAUCAAUUGACGUUACCGACAGAAGAAGCACCGGCUAACUCCGUGCCAGCAGCCGCGGUAAUACGGAGGGUGCAAGCGUUAAUCGGAAUUACUGGGCGUAAAGCGCACGCAGGCGGUUGAUUGAGUCAGAUGUGAAAUCCCCGGGCUUAACCCGGGAAUUGCAUCUGAUACUGGUCAGCUAGAGUCUUGUAGAGGGGGGUAGAAUUCCAUGUGUAGCGGUGAAAUGCGUAGAGAUGUGGAGGAAUACCGGUGGCGAAGGCGGCCCCCUGGACAAAGACUGACGAUCAGGUGCGAAAGCGUAGGGAGCAAACAGG
RNAcentral lists this ribosomal RNA (429 nucleotides) under Chloroflexota bacterium. Its description in RNAcentral is "Chloroflexi bacterium partial 16S ribosomal RNA". It matches the Rfam family "Bacterial small subunit ribosomal RNA", at positions 355 to 776 of the family's 1533-position model. The record is from RNAcentral. Lineage: Bacteria; Bacillati; Chloroflexota.